GUUGGUUGGUGUUGUUGGCAACGGUCCCGUGGAUCGCGUGAGAGAGAGCGGGUGUCGCACGAGUUCAUCAAGUUUGCGAUUAUCUGCUGUCUGAGAGCAGAAGAAGAAUCUGCCUGAUUAAAACUGGAUGGACAGAUUUCUUCGUCGUUUCAUAAUUAUGAUCGACAGAUUGACACUUCCUCCCUCUGUUUGGUUCCUAAUCCGCAGCAGCUGAAGAAUCGAGCUCGAGCAUGGACGGCCCCACCCGCCGCCACAAUCACCGCCAUCCCCCCCCUCGAACCCUAACCAAAAUCAAUUCCACUACCACCGCCACCACCGUCCCAGGAGACUUCUGUUCCAACGGCUCAAACGAGCAGGAAGACGAGGUCGGCGGAGCAGGCUUCGCGGAGGAGUUGGGCGACUCCGAGGUCUGGAGCUCCUUCACCGAUAACUUCCUCCAGGUGCAGUCGGUUCUGGAUCGGAACCGCGUAUUGAUUCAGCAGGUUAACGAGAACCACCAGUCCAAGAUUCACGAAAAUUUGGUCCAGAACGUCGCCCUAAUUCAGGAGAUCAACGGCAACAUCUCCAAGAUCGUAUCUCUCUACUCCGACCUUUCUACUAGUUUCUCUUCCGUGUUCCAUCAGCGAAACGCAGCGGUUGAUGCGAACAGCCGUAACGCUGAGAAGGACUCGUCCCCGCAGGCUUGACUAUAUUGAUUUCCAGGUGAGAGGCAAACCAAACGGUGUAAGCUGGAGGUCUACUGGAUCUCCUACUCGCCGAUGGGAUCUUUUGGCAGUGAUGAUGUUCACUUGCUGAAGAACUACUCACGUCUAGAGAUUUUCCCGGCACGUCGUCAUAGCACUCGCACACUCCUUAAUUGCAACCUCGCCUUAAGGGAUGGAUAUGCUUCGGGAAAUGAACCGAUGACGAUGUGAGGAAGACGCCUAGAGACUUGGGAGAGGGGGGAAUUCUACUCGCCCCUCUAGAGGAGCUAUUCACCAACCCUCCUCAUCACGCUCUCAAAGACAGGUGGGUGCCUCCUCUUCAAGAGCAAGUUCCACGCAAAAAUACUUGUGCCCCAUAUGCAUUACAUUAUUAUGUGUUCAUAGUAAUUUGUCUAUUUUAUUUUCUAGAAUAAAAGAUGAGAGGUAGGUCGACCAUGAGUCCUCUCCUCAUGUAAGAGCCCGUUGUCCUGUAAGUAGCCCGGCAAUGAGGAGGUGUAAGAGCCCGUUGUCUCACAAGUAGCCUAACAACGAGGAAGUAUAAGAGUCUGUUGUCCCGUGAGUAGCCUGACAAUGAGCAAGUGUAAGAUCUGUUGCCCCACAAGCAACUCACCUUGCUUCACCCGGUAACAAAGAAGCGUAAUAUCCGUUGUCCCCCAACUAGCCUGACAACAAGAAAGUGUAAUAUCUGUUGCCACGUGAGCAACUUACCUUGCUUCACCAAGUAACAAAGGAGCAUAAUAUCUAUUGCCCUGCAAGUAGCCUGGCAAUGAGAAAGUGUAAUAUCCAUUGCCCCGCAAACAACCCAACAAUGAAGAAUUGGAACAUCAAUCAUCUUGUAAAUAACAUACUUUACAUGGCUUGACGGUGGGAUAAACAAAGCCUACCAAGCAACAUACCUUGUGCAACCCGACAGUUGCAGAACCAAAAGUUGUCUCACUAGCCAACCAAUCAGCUUGGCUCGAUAGUAAAAGGCCACCAAAUCACCAAAAGACCACCAUGGGCCUAAGUCUCAUGUGACAGAGCAAAAGUGCCCAGUCCACCUUGUGACAUAAAAACGCAAACCCCAAGAUUAAAAUAAGACCCCUGGAGGGAAAAUUUACAAAGAAGGUUGGUUUGGUUUGCUAUUGCUACAAAUCCUCAGUUAUUUAGAAAAAAGUGAUAGUCAUACACAAUAUCACUCAACAAAAGAGAAAGAAAGAAGCAAGAAUGCAAAUUUUAUUCAUGAGAGGAAAAUUACACAAUUCGAGUGAAGAAAAAAAGAGAGGAUCCUACAAGCCUACGCCAAAGGCCCUUGAGUAGUGCCAAAAGUAGCGAGAAUAGCAUCAACAGAUACAACUGAAAUCUCACUUUCCUCAGUACCCACAUUACAUGGAAUGCCCUUAGGAGCUGCCUCUCCAGAGACACCCAAGUCUUGAAGGGCAUCAAUCAUUUCAUCGCCUUCGAAGUCGAAAGGGUAUGGCUCCCACUAGCCCAUCAAAUUUUCCAAAUCAUCCAUGAGCCAAGACUUGAGAUAAGAAGAAGGGCUCGUAGGAUCGAGAUCAUAUUGGCACCAAUCAAGAGGCACAAAAUCCUCCACCUUAGAGGUAAGAACCAACUAUGGAAAAGUCUCCCCCGGGCGUUGUGCCUCCAAAUAGGAGCGGGCAAGAUAGAAGCCAUAUUUAGUGUAGACCAAGGAGUAUUGCCCCUUCCUAUCUUAGCAAUCCUUGGAUGGGCAAUACUCCUUCAUUACCUCGACAUAGGUGGCCACUUCCUCUUCCACUCGCCAGGCUCCAAACUCGUGGGGCCAUUUUCGACAUUCUAUCAGUUCAGCCACCCGUAACAAGUGCUCCUAAAGAAGGUCCUCUGCUAAGGAACUAUCGACUCUGUUAACGUUCAAUUCCAAGUUGAGAGUUACUAUCGAUCUUUGCUAUCUUCUGAAUCAGAUCGGAAACAAUUGCCUAUCAAUAGCCUAGAAUUACCUUUGGAAUUUGCUUUUAGUGACCAAUUUUACAAUGAUCAAACUAACUGCUUUCGUCGGAAUCACAGUUGAGAAUGAUCGACUUUGAUACCAUUUGUCACAUUCCUAGGGUUACCUAGGGUCAUGAUUGAAAUUAAGGGAGAAAUUAGAAUGAUAGAAUUGAAGAAGGGAGAGAAAAUAGUAGAAAGAGAGGGAGAAUUAGAGAGAACCGAGAGAGGGAUAGAGAGAAUUAGAAGGAAAGGGAAUUCAAUCUCAUUUCACAUAAUAAACCCAUCCUCUUCCAGUAGCCCUUUUAUAGGCAUAGCUGGCUACUAACUACAUUCCUAACAGCACCCAUGUGCUCCUAACAAUUUGCAAAAUAUCUCAUAAUAAACUAUUAUAAUCCUAUUACAAUAUUGUCCCUUUAUUGCUCCUAGAGUCAUGACCCUUAAAAACGAGGGUUGAUUGCCACACGUCCCUCCUCUCCCUCCACUAUAAAUAGGGGAGCCAUUUCCGCCCUCAGGUAAGCUCAUUUUAGGACCUAGGCUUCAUUCUUGCACUCUAGCAUUUCACAAGUCUAACUUAAGUAUUGGAGAGUUUGCGUGAGGACACCCACCCAUGCCCUUAAUAGGUUGUUUUUCUCAACAGGGCACUCAGUCAUCAAGACACCUAAUCAUCUAGGCACCUGAUCAUCCAUAAGACUCUCUGCACUUAGACUUAUAGGUCUCCUAAUCAUCUGCAUCGACUCACAGGUCUCCUAAUCAUUUGCAUCUAAACUUAUAGGUCUCCUGAUCGUCUGCACCUAGACUUAUAGGUCUCCUAAUCAUUUGCAUCCAAACCUGGAACUCUCGAGAUCACUUGACACACAGACAACACCUUGAACUCGUCGGGCCUCACACUUAUCACUCCCACUUUACAAAUUUAUUGUUUUAGUCAAGCAACAACAAGUAUAAUUGUGAACUUGACAUUGUCAAGUGGUUUCUCAAUUCCAUAUUUGGUUUACUUAUUAAUGAGGCCUUAUAAACAAUUGCACUGAUUGCUGUGGAUUUUGGGUAUUAAUAUCAUUGAUGGCAAGAAUUGCCUGUCUGGUGAUUUCCUGUUAUCAGGGGAAUGGCAGCUGGAAAAGAGCUUAUCUGUUUGUCCAACACACACACACACACCCAAUGAGGUACUUCUAUUUUGUCUACUUUGUCUUCUUGCCUGUCUUUGAUUGUGGAUAAGAGUUUUAAAAUUUUGGUAGUUUCAAAUGCCAAACCUGUUAAUAGACAAAUAAGAUAGAUAUGCUGUAGGAAGCACGGUUACUUUUGUUGCCUCAGGCAGUGUUCAUAUAUUUCGGUCUCGUCCUAUUUUCUAGUGGGAAGAAUUAUAUUCUUAAUAGAGAUGAGUAUACGUCCAGGUGGUUGAGAACUACCACAGCUAGAUAGAUGAUUCAUUUAUCAGAGCCAUAUAGUUCUGCCCCCCCCCCCCCCCCCCAAAAAAAAAAAAAAAAUAAUAAUAAUAAUAAUAAAUAAAAUAUAAAUAAAUAAAUAAAUAAAAAUGAAAAAUCACAAGUACUGCUAAAUUUCUGGGCCUUAUGCUAGUGAGUGAGAAUGGUUUUUGCUUGAUAUGAUCAAGAACUUCAAAAUGUUAACCAAAUUCAAAUACAACGAAGCAGAGCAAGAAGUUUAUAACUUGAGAUAGGUUCCUCUUGGACUUGGUCACUUGACUGCUAUCUGUUUAUUGGUG
This is an RNA transcript of Diospyros lotus (date-plum), 4365 nucleotides long. It is a transcript of the gene named protein EARLY FLOWERING 4-like, with no coding region annotated. The transcript has 4 exons. The record is from RefSeq and is a predicted model, not a curated record. NCBI's taxonomy places the organism in Eukaryota, Viridiplantae, Streptophyta, Magnoliopsida, Ericales, Ebenaceae.